Long non-coding RNA from Tympanuchus pallidicinctus (lesser prairie-chicken), 1074 nucleotides. RefSeq lists it as uncharacterized. NCBI's taxonomy places the organism in Eukaryota, Metazoa, Chordata, Aves, Galliformes, Phasianidae. The record is from RefSeq and is a predicted model, not a curated record. The transcript has 2 exons.
GGGAUACCAGUGAUCGGGAGUCUUGAAUUUCCGGGCCAGGUACAUGAGGAUGGCAACGCUGGCAGAGAGCAGGACAGAGCAGUGAGUGCCUCUUCUCAUUUGGAUCAACGUCUCACCACAACCAUUCGUUGGCAACAAGGGAAAAGACACCGUAUGGGCUUUUACCCCAGCUGCAAUCAGCCUCUACUGAGACAGGCUGUUAAGAGGAAAGCAGCAUCAAGUGCAUUCGGUGAGCAGCCAAGGCACGAGGGGAACACCCAGAGCAGAAACCACAACACCCAGAGGUUUUUCUCAUAACAAGCUGGAGCCUCUCUUGUUUCUCUAUCAGUUUGAGCCUCGUAAACCUUCUCAUCUUGCAUUUUAAGCCCAAUACAUUCACUGAAUUUCACAACAGACCACUAGAAAGGCUGAAAGGCAGUUUUUACCAGCAAAGGAAAGAGAUACAGAUCUCCAGACGUCCUCUGAUGAAAACAUACGAUACCUCUCUGUGGGGCUCCUACCCUCCGUCAGUUGGUUCUGGAACAAACAAAAGCCCUUCUCCCUUCUGCAGCCCUCAGCUUUCCCAUUCUGGCUGCUGCACUUCACCCUCCCCUGCCUUUGCCAUCUCCCAGUGCUGUCAGCAUGACUUCACCCCACUGUGCCCCACUGCUACACCCAGAGGAGAACCACACUGUGCUGCAGCACGGAGCUCCCAUUACUUGAAAGGGGCGAAGCCCACGCUGCUGGGUGCACUUCCAUCUCCUUUUGGCCGGCACCCCGAGGAGCCUUACUUCUCAGAACGACGUCUCUUUUCCUGUCCCCCAUUUUCUGAUGGACUGUUUUCAAAGAGCUCGCACACAGCUCUGCAGAACCUCAGCACGAGGUGGGGACGAGGGCGGCAGCACCGCCCGGUAACAACCGGAGUUUCCACACUGGACGCGAAUCCCCCGCCCGCUGCUACCGGGGGGCAGCGGCCCCUUCCCAUCCCCGCUCACCCUUCAUCAGCUCCACCCGUUUGAACUCGAACGGGAUGUUGUUGCAGCGGGCGAAGAGGAAAACUGCCCGGCAAGGCUGCGAGAGCAGAUCGAGGUACAG